UAGAGUUUGAUCCUGGCUCAGGAUGAACGCUGGCGGUAUGCUUAACACAUGCAAGUCGAACGGUGUCUUCGGACACAGUGGCGGACGGGUGAGUAACGCGUGAGAAUCUGCCUUCAGGUCUGGGACAACCACUGGAAACGGUGGCUAAUACCGGAUGUGCCGAGAGGUGAAAGGUUAACUGCCUGAAGAUGAGCUCGCGUCUGAUUAGCUAGUUGGAAGUGUAAUGGACUCCCAAGGCGACGAUCAGUAGCUGGUCUGAGAGGACGAUCAGCCACACUGGGACUGAGACACGGCCCAGACUCCUACGGGAGGCAGCAGUGGGGAAUUUUCCGCAAUGGGCGAAAGCCUGACGGAGCAAUACCGCGUGAGGGAGGAAGGCUCUUGGGUCGUAAACCUCUUUUCUCAGGGAAGAAAAAAAUGACGGUACCUGAGGAAUAAGCAUCGGCUAACUCCGUGCCAGCAGCCGCGGUAAUACGGAGGAUGCAAGCGUUAUCCGGAAUGAUUGGGCGUAAAGCGUCCGCAGGUGGCAAUGUAAGUCUGCUGUUAAAGAGUGAGGCUCAACCUCAUAAGAGCAGUGGAAACUACAUAGCUAGAGUACGUUCGGGGCAGAGGGAAUUCCUGGUGUAGCGGUGAAAUGCGUAGAGAUCAGGAAGAACACCGGUGGCGAAGGCGCUCUGCUAGGCCGUAACUGACACUGAGGGACGAAAGCUAGGGGAGCGAAUGGGAUUAGAUACCCCAGUAGUCCUAGCCGUAAACGAUGGAUACUAGGCGUGGCUUGUAUCGACCCGAGCCGUGCCGUAGCUAACGCGUUAAGUAUCCCGCCUGGGGAGUACGCCGGCAACGGUGAAACUCAAAGGAAUUGACGGGGGCCCGCACAAGCGGUGGAGUAUGUGGUUUAAUUCGAUGCAACGCGAAGAACCUUACCAAGGCUUGACAUGUCGCGAAUCCUGGUGAAAGCUGGGAGUGCCUUCGGGAGCGCGAACACAGGUGGUGCAUGGCUGUCGUCAGCCCGUGUCGUGAGAUGUUGGGUUAAGUCCCGCAACGAGCGCAACCCUCGUUUUUAGUUGCCAGCAUUAAGUUGGGCACUCUAGAGAGACUGCCGGUGACAAACCGGAGGAAGGUGGGGAUGACGUCAAGUCAGCAUGCCCCUUACGCCUUGGGCUACACACGUACUACAAUGCUCCGGACAGAGGGCAGCAAGCCAGCGAUGGCAAGCAAAUCCCGUAAACCGGAGCUCAGUUCAGAUCGCAGGCUGCAACUCGCCUGCGUGAAGGAGGAAUCGCUAGUAAUUGCAGGUCAGCAUACUGCAGUGAAUUCGUUCCCGGGCCUUGUACACACCGCCCGUCACACCAUGGAAGCUGGUAGUGCCCGAAGUCAUUACUUCAACCUGCAAAGGAGAAGGAUGCCUAAGGCAGGACUGGUGACUGGGGUGAAGUCGUAACAAGGUAGCCGUACCGGAAGGUGUGGCUGGAUCACCUCCGUU
RNAcentral lists this ribosomal RNA (1483 nucleotides) under Nostoc flagelliforme CHAB2816. Its description in RNAcentral is "bacterial SSU rRNA". It matches the Rfam family "Bacterial small subunit ribosomal RNA". The record is from RNAcentral. Lineage: Bacteria; Bacillati; Cyanobacteriota; Cyanophyceae; Nostocales; Nostocaceae.